AUACGUAGGUGGCAAGCGUUGUCCGGAAUUAUUGGGCGUAAAGCGCGCGCAGGCGGUCCUUUAAGUCUGAUGUGAAAGCCCACGGCUCAACCGUGGAGGGUCAUUGGAAACUGGGGGACUUGAGUGCAGAAGAGGAAAGUGGAAUUCCAAGUGUAGCGGUGAAAUGCGUAGAGAUUUGGAGGAACACCAGUGGCGAAGGCGCCUUUCGGGUCUGUAACUGACGCUGAGGCGCGAAAGCGUGGGGAGCAAACAGGAUUAGAUACCCUGGUAGUCCACGCCGUAAACGAUGAGUGCUAAGUGUUAGGGGGUUUCCGCCCCUUAGUGCUGCAGCUAACGCAUUAAGCACUCCGCCUGGGGAGUACGGUCGCAAGACUGAAACUCAAAGGAAUUGACGGGG
Molecule: ribosomal RNA, 397 nt
Filed under: uncultured bacterium
Lineage: Bacteria
Description: partial 16S ribosomal RNA
Rfam family: Bacterial small subunit ribosomal RNA
Source: RNAcentral